GAUGAACGCUGGCGGCGUGCCUAAUACAUGCAAGUCGAGCGAAUGGAUUAAGAGCUUGCCCUUAUGAAGUUAGCGGCGGACGGGUGAGUAACACGUGGGUAACCUGCCCAUAAGACUGGGAUAACUCCGGGAAACCGGGGCUAAUACCGGAUAACAUUUUGAACCGCAUGGUUCGAAAUUGAAAGGCGGCUUCGGCUGUCACUUAUGGAUGGACCCGCGUCGCAUUAGCUAGUUGGAGAGGUAACGGCUCACCAAGGCAACGAUGCGUAGCCGACCUGGGAGGGUGAUCGGCCAAACGGGGACUGGGACACGGCCCAGACUCCUACGGGAGGCAGCAGUAGGGAAUCUUCCGCAAUGGACGAAAGUCUGACGGAGCAACGCCGCGUGAGUGAUGAAGGCUUUCGGGUCGUAAAACUCUGUUGUUAGGGAAGAACAAGUGCUAGUUGAAUAAGCUGGCACCUUGACGGUACCUAACCAGAAAGCCACGGCUAACUACGUGCCAGCCGCCGCCGUAA
This 515-nucleotide ribosomal RNA is filed under the name uncultured bacterium. RNAcentral describes it as "partial 16S ribosomal RNA". It matches the Rfam family "Bacterial small subunit ribosomal RNA", at positions 28 to 523 of the family's 1533-position model. The record is from RNAcentral.